Molecule: transfer RNA, 69 nt
Filed under: Pterocles gutturalis (yellow-throated sandgrouse)
Lineage: Eukaryota; Metazoa; Chordata; Aves; Pterocliformes; Pteroclidae
Description: tRNA-Asp
Rfam family: tRNA
About the family: Transfer RNA (tRNA) molecules are approximately 80 nucleotides in length. Their secondary structure includes four short double-helical elements and three loops (D, anti-codon, and T loops).
Source: RNAcentral
GAAAUGUUAGUAAAACAAUUACACAGCUUUGUCAAGGCUGAAUUACAGGUGCAAACCCUGUACAUCUCA